This 267-nucleotide long non-coding RNA is filed under the name Gossypium barbadense (sea-island cotton). RNAcentral's name for it is "long non-coding RNA (GBAR_LNC016478)". The record is from RNAcentral. Lineage: Eukaryota; Viridiplantae; Streptophyta; Magnoliopsida; Malvales; Malvaceae.
CCAGCUUCUGAAAGGAGUGGGAAAAAUAUAUAUUAAUAGAACUUACGAUCACAUAGAAGGUAACCAUCAAAUCGAGUAGUCAUUGUGUAUAAACCUCGAGUUACAGCCAUUACUAAACAUUCAAUUCCUCCAAGGACCAUUUAAGGGAGUUAUCUAUAAUCUGACAGAUUGAUUUAAAAGGCCACUAAAGCAAAACUCUAGUAACACAAUACAAUCUUCAUUCUCUAUCUCUCUGCAAAUAGCUUUAAAAAGUACUUCUGAAAAGGC